This 63-nucleotide transfer RNA is filed under the name Tetrastemma olgarum. RNAcentral's name for it is "tRNA-Val". The record is from RNAcentral. Lineage: Eukaryota; Metazoa; Nemertea; Enopla; Monostilifera; Tetrastemmatidae.
CUAAAGAAAGCAUUUUAGAUGUUUUUCAUUUACAUUGAGAAUAAGGAUAUUUUCCUCUUUUGA